This 253-nucleotide ribosomal RNA is filed under the name uncultured bacterium. RNAcentral describes it as "partial 16S ribosomal RNA". It matches the Rfam family "Bacterial small subunit ribosomal RNA", at positions 524 to 776 of the family's 1533-position model. The record is from RNAcentral.
GACAGAGGGUGCAAACGUUGUUCGGAAUUACUGGGCGUAAAGCGCGUGUAGGCGGCUUCGCAAGUCGGAUGUGAAAUCCCACGGCUCAACCGUGGAAGUGCAUUCGAAACUGCAAGGCUAGAGUUCUGGAGAGGAAGGUGGAAUGCUUGGUGUAGAGGUGAAAUUCGUAGAUAUCAAGCGGAACACCGGUGGCGAAGGCGGCCUUCUGGACAGUAACUGACGCUGAGACGCGAAAGCGUGGGGAGCAAACAGG